RNAcentral lists this ribosomal RNA (156 nucleotides) under Brassica napus (rape). RNAcentral's name for it is "rRNA 5_8S_rRNA". It matches the Rfam family "5.8S ribosomal RNA". From Rfam's summary of the family: 5.8S ribosomal RNA (5.8S rRNA) is a component of the large subunit of the eukaryotic ribosome. It is transcribed by RNA polymerase I as part of the 45S precursor that also contains 18S and 28S rRNA. Lineage: Eukaryota; Viridiplantae; Streptophyta; Magnoliopsida; Brassicales; Brassicaceae. The record is from RNAcentral.
GAGUCUCGGCAAUGGAUAUCUCAGCUCUUGCAUCGAUGAAGAACGUAGCAAAAUCCGAUACUUGGUGUGAAUUGCAGAAUCCCGUGAACCAUCGAGUCUUUGAACGCAAGUUAUGCCCCAAGCCUUCUGGCUGAGGGCACAUCUGCCUGGGUGUCA